RNAcentral lists this ribosomal RNA (301 nucleotides) under uncultured bacterium. RNAcentral's name for it is "partial 16S ribosomal RNA". It matches the Rfam family "Bacterial small subunit ribosomal RNA", at positions 509 to 807 of the family's 1533-position model. The record is from RNAcentral.
CAGCCGCCGCGGUAAUACGAAGGGUGCGAGCGUUACUCGGAAUUACUGGGCGUAAAGGGUGCGUAGGUGGUUUUUUAAGUCCGUUGUGAAAUCCCUGGGCUCAACCUGGGAAUGGCAGUGGAUACUGGAAAGCUAGAGUGCGGUAGAGGGUAGUGGAAUUCCCGGUGUAGCAGUGAAAUGCGUAGAUAUCGGAAGGAACACCUGUGGCGAAAGCGGCUCACUGGACCAUUACUGACGCUGAGGCACGAAAGCUAGGGGAGCAAACAGGAUUAGAUACCCCCGUAGUCCCUGUCUCUUAUAC